AACGCACGAGACCUGCGGACCUGCGGAAGGAUCAUUAACGAGUGCGAACCCCUCCGUAAAAAAGGGGGGUUACCUCCCGUCCUUUGUUGGGCAUCCCUUUCAAUUGAAAGGAGUUGUCUUUCAUACCUUCUGCUUCGGUAGGGUGACCUGCCGGAACAACCUCAAAAAAUUCUUAGUCAAAAUUGUUCAGUCCGAGAACUUUUGAAAAGCGAAAAAAACUUUCAGCAACGGAUCUCUAGA
Molecule: unclassified non-coding RNA, 240 nt
Filed under: soil metagenome
Description: partial contains 5.8S ribosomal RNA, internal transcribed spacer 2, and large subunit ribosomal RNA
Source: RNAcentral